Molecule: unclassified non-coding RNA, 253 nt
Filed under: uncultured bacterium
Lineage: Bacteria
Description: contains 16S-23S intergenic spacer region
Rfam family: Bacterial small subunit ribosomal RNA
Source: RNAcentral
UACAGAGGUGGCAAGCGUUGUUCGGAUUUAUUGGGCGUAAAGGGUCCGUAGGCGGUCCGGAAAGUUGGAUGUGAAAUCCCACAGCUCAACUGUGGAACUGCAUUCAAAACUCCCGGACUAGAGUAUGAGAGGGGUUAAGGGAAUUCCCGGUGUAAGGGUGAAAUCUGCAGAGAUCGGGAGGAACACCAGUCGCGAAGGCGCUUAACUGGCUCAUUACUGACGCUCAGGGACGAAAGCUAGGGUAGCAAACGGG